This is a long non-coding RNA of Telopea speciosissima, 147 nucleotides long. RefSeq lists it as uncharacterized. The record is from RefSeq and is a predicted model, not a curated record. NCBI's taxonomy places the organism in Eukaryota, Viridiplantae, Streptophyta, Magnoliopsida, Proteales, Proteaceae. The transcript has 2 exons.
AUAUGCUUCUUUCUCUCAUAUGCGUUACCAUACCACCUAGCUUCGGACCAUUGCAUCCUCCAGUGGGAAGGAACCUCCAAGGUAUGGGCAAUUUGUUCAGCAAGGUAUGGGUCCAUAUUUCCCUUGAGAUCCUUUAAAAUUUUGCUA